GACAGAGGGUGCAGACGUUGUUCGGAAUUACUGGGCGUAAAGCGCGUGUAGGCGGCUAUGUAAGUCGGGCGUGAAAUCCCACGGCUCAACCGUGGAAGUGCACCCGAAACUGCGUAGCUAGAGUCCUGGAGAGGAAGGUGGAAUGCUUGGUGUAGAGGUGAAAUUCGUAGAUAUCAAGCGGAACACCAGUGGCGAAGGCGGCUCACUGGACCGGUACUGACGCUGAUGCGCGAAAGCGUGGGUAGCAAACAGG
Molecule: ribosomal RNA, 253 nt
Filed under: uncultured bacterium
Lineage: Bacteria
Description: partial 16S ribosomal RNA
Rfam family: Bacterial small subunit ribosomal RNA
Source: RNAcentral